CAGAAAAUAGUUUAGUUUAGAAUCCUGGCUUUGGGAGUCAGGGGUAGGAGUUAAAAUCUCCUUUUUCUGGG
This 71-nucleotide transfer RNA is filed under the name Psilorhynchus homaloptera (torrent stone carp). RNAcentral describes it as "tRNA-Pro". It matches the Rfam family "tRNA". From Rfam's summary of the family: Transfer RNA (tRNA) molecules are approximately 80 nucleotides in length. Their secondary structure includes four short double-helical elements and three loops (D, anti-codon, and T loops). The record is from RNAcentral. Lineage: Eukaryota; Metazoa; Chordata; Actinopteri; Cypriniformes; Psilorhynchidae.